UUUCCUCUAAAAAAUAUCUUUAUUUCCUGUAUUUACCCCCACCCCAUGUGUCAUAUAACUUGGUCCCUUUUAUUCGUUCCCUUCCUGAUGGUGGUGUUAGUAGUUCCAAGUGAAGGUCUUGCCCGUGAUAGGGUCUCAAGCGUGAGACAUGAAAAACAUUGUGUUUAUGUGAUGAAGUACGUAGAUCUCAUUCAUAGGUCGUUUGUCCAAUACGGCAUAAUACCACAUGGAACAUAGUAUGAUUGGGACAACUUCUAGGAUCGACAAGGAGCCACUAUGGUGUGUCUACAUGAUUGCAAUCAGUGUAAAACCAUGGAGCC
This 320-nucleotide long non-coding RNA is filed under the name Lupinus angustifolius (narrow-leaved blue lupine). RNAcentral describes it as "long non-coding RNA (LANG_LNC003753)". Lineage: Eukaryota; Viridiplantae; Streptophyta; Magnoliopsida; Fabales; Fabaceae. The record is from RNAcentral.